UAUAAUUUAUGUAUUAUUUUUAUAAAAUUAUUUAUUUUUUAAAAAAAAAAUUUUUAAAAAGUUUAUUUUUAGUAAUUUAAUAAGAAAUAAAAAAUUUUUAUUUUUGUAAAAAGAAAAAAUUAGAAGUUUAAAAUAAAAAUUUAAUUUUUGUACCUUUUGUAUAAGGGUUAUUUUAAUAAAAUUUAAUUAAAUUUAAUUAUCUCGAAUUUAAAUGAAAUAAAAUAUUAUUUUUUUUAGUGUAAAAUAAUUAUUAAUUAUAAUAUUUUUGAAAUUAUAUGUUAUUCAAAUUUUUAUAUCUAGUUUUUUAAUAAAUAAAUUUAAUUUAAAAUUAUUUAUUAAUUUCUUUUUUUAUUUAAAAUAAAUUAUGAAAAUAAUUAAAAAAUAAAAGAGAUAAAUUUUUUAUUUAUUUUAAAAUUUUAAUAUUUAUUAACUUUUUUUUUUUAAUUUAUGUUAUUUUAUAAUAAAAAAAUUUUAAAUUUUAUUAAUUUUUAAUUGAAUUUAUUAAUAAAAAUUUAAUUUAUAUAUUAAAAUUUAAUUAAAAAUUUUUUUUAAUUAAUAAUAAUGAAUAAAUUAGUAUUUAAAAUAUUUAAUUUAUUAAAUUUAAAUUAAAUUAGUUAAAAAUAAUUCAGCAAUAAAUUAUUUUCACUUGUUUAUCAAAAACAUGUCUUAAAGAUAAUAAUUUUAGGUUUAAUCUGUUCAAUGAUAUAUAAAAUAUUAAAUAAUUGCAGUAUAUUAACUGUGCAAAGGUAGCAAAAUCAUUUGUUUUUUAAUUGAAAACUGGAAUGAAAGAUUGAAUGAGAAAUAAACUUUUUUUUAAUUAAUUGAAUAAUUUUAUUUUAAAAUAAAAAAUUUUUAAUGUAUUUAAAAGACGAUAAGACCCUAUAAAAUUUAAUAUUUAUUUUUAUUAUUUUAUAAUAUUUUAAUAUUGAUUUUAAAUAUUUAAUUGGGGUGAUUAAAAAAUUUUUAAAACUUUUUUUUAUAUAAAAAAUUAAUAUUUUUAAUAUAAAUAAUUUUAAUUAUUUUUAAAUAAAAUUACUUUAGGGAUAACAGCAUAAUAUUAUUAAAUAGAACUUAUUGAUAAUAAUGAUUAUGACCUCGAUGUUGAAUUAAAUUUAAUAUAUUAAUAUAUAUAUAUAUAUAUAUAUAAUUAGAAGAAGAAAUAUAAAUUUAGUCUGUUCGACUAUUAAAAUUUUACAUGAUUUGAGUUCAAAUCGGCGUGAGCCAGAUUGGUUUCUAUCUUUAAAUGAAUUAAAAAAACUUUUGUACGAAAGGAUUAGUUUAUUAAUUAAAUUUUUA
Molecule: ribosomal RNA, 1296 nt
Filed under: Telenomus sp. ZCS-2018
Lineage: Eukaryota; Metazoa; Arthropoda; Insecta; Hymenoptera; Scelionidae
Description: 16S ribosomal RNA
Source: RNAcentral